GAUGAACGCUGGCGGCGUGCUUAACACAUGCAAGUCGAACGAAGACAUCUGAGUGCUUGCACUUGGAUGGACUGAGUGGCGGACGGGUGAGUAACGCGUGGGUAACCUGCCUUAUACAGGGGGAUAACAGUUGGAAACGACUGCUAAUACCGCAUAAGCGCACGGUAUCGCAUGAUACAGUGUGAAAAACUCCGGUGGUAUAAGAUGGACCCGCGUCUGAUUAGCUAGUUGGUGAGGUAACGGCCCACCAAGGCGACGAUUGGUAGCCGGACUGAGAGGUUGAACGGCCACAUUGGGACUGAGACACGGUCCAGACUCCUACGGGAGGCAGCAGUAGGGAAUAUUGGGCAAUGGGCGCAAGCCUGACCCAGCAACGCCGCGUGAGGGAAGAAGGUUUUCGGAUUGUAAACUUCUUUUGUCAGGGAAGAGUAGAAGACGGUACCUGACGAAUAAGCCACGGCUAACUACGUG
This 471-nucleotide ribosomal RNA is filed under the name uncultured bacterium. RNAcentral's name for it is "bacterial SSU rRNA". It matches the Rfam family "Bacterial small subunit ribosomal RNA", at positions 28 to 507 of the family's 1533-position model. The record is from RNAcentral.